RNAcentral lists this long non-coding RNA (313 nucleotides) under Oryza brachyantha (malo sina). RNAcentral describes it as "long non-coding RNA (OBRA_LNC002088)". Lineage: Eukaryota; Viridiplantae; Streptophyta; Magnoliopsida; Poales; Poaceae. The record is from RNAcentral.
GCUUUUCCUGUCGUCCUCGUGAGGCGGAAUGAUUCAGUAAAGAAAACCAAAGACGAAACAAAGCAGAGCCGAACAAAAAAAGGACGUGAAAAGCAGCGAGCUGUGCCGACACCGCAUCGCCACUCUCACCUCCGUGACAAGGCCCAGGUAAGCUAGCGAAGGAGCUCGAUCGAUCGACCGACGGAUCACGGCCAUGGCGAGAGUCGAGGCCGUGGUGGUCUGCCUCCUGAUCAUCGCCAUGGACGUCGUCGCCGGCGUCCUCGGCAUCCACGCGGAGAGAGCGCAGCACCAGGUACGUGUAAAAGCCGUGAGA